Molecule: ribosomal RNA, 497 nt
Filed under: uncultured bacterium
Lineage: Bacteria
Description: partial 16S ribosomal RNA
Rfam family: Bacterial small subunit ribosomal RNA
Source: RNAcentral
GAUGAACGCUGGCGGCGUGCCUAAUACAUGCAAGUCGAGCGAACGGACGAGAAGCUUGCUUCUCUGAUGUUAGCGGCGGACGGGUGAGUAACACGUGGAUAACCUACCUAUAAGACUGGGAUAACUUCGGGAAACCGGAGCUAAUACCGGAUAAUAUUUUGAACCGCAUGGUUCAAAAGUGAAAGACGGUCUUGCUGUCACUUAUAGAUGGAUCCGCGCUGCAUUAGCUAGUUGGUAAGGUAACGGCUUACCAAGGCAACGAUGCAUAGCCGACCUGAGAGGGUGAUCGGCCACACUGGAACUGAGACACGGUCCAGACUCCUACGAGAGGCAGCAGUAGGGAAUCUUCCGCAAUGGGUGAAAGCCUGUCGGAACAACGCCGCGUGAGUGAUGAAGGUCUUCGGAUCGUAAAACUCUGUUAUUAGGGAAGAACAUAUGUGUAAGUAACUGUGCACAUCUUGACGGUACCUAAUCAGAAAGCCACGGCUAACUACGUG